RNAcentral lists this ribosomal RNA (606 nucleotides) under fungal sp. Its description in RNAcentral is "eukaryotic LSU rRNA". The stretch from base 197 to 351 matches the Rfam family "5.8S ribosomal RNA". The record is from RNAcentral. Lineage: Eukaryota; Fungi.
UUACCGAGUUAGGGUCUCACCGGCCCGAUCUCCCAACCCUUUGUCUACUUGACCAUCGUUGCUUCGGCGAGCCCGUCCUCACGGACCGCCGGGGGGUCUUUGUACCCCUUGGCCCGCGCUCGUCGACAGCCCCCAAAUUUAAAAAAUCUUAACUAAACGUGUCUUGAAUCUAAGUAUUAUUGUUAAAUAAAAACAAAACUUUCAACAACGGAUCUCUUGGUUCUGGCAUCGAUGAAGAACGCAGCGAAAUGCGAUAAGUAAUGCGAAUUGCAGAAUUCCAGUGAGUCAUCGAAUCUUUGAACGCACAUUGCGCCCUUUGGUAUUCCGAAGGGCAUGCCUGUUCGAGCGUCAUUAUCACCCCUCAAGCCCUCGGCUUGGUGUUGGACGGCUUGGUGGAGACCCCCUUUGCGGGCUUCUACCCCUCCCAAAGACAAUGACGGCGGCCUCGUUGGACCCCCGGUACACUGAGUUCUUCACGGGACACGUAUCGGACACAUGGGUUCACGGGACACGGUCUGCCUCCCCUCAGGGAGAAUCUUUUUUUAUCAAGGUUGACCUCGGAUCACGUAGGGAUACCCGCUGAACUUAAGCAUAUCAAUAAGCGGA